CUAACCGAACCAUCAGAAUUCACAUCCGAGCCCUCUAACUUAUAAGUCAACGUCCGGUUGACUUUUCCAACUUAAGCCUUCUUAAAAGAGACUAAGUGUCUCAUUUCUUAUCAAAACCACUCCAACUCAACUCUAUUAAACAAGAUACGUAAAAUGAAGCAUAAAGAAGCUGAAAAUAGGAAAAACAGAGCGAUAACUCAUGAGACGACGGGUCGAGUCGUCACAAGUUGCUACACACUGGUAGGCUAUUUCAGCAAUAUUCAAUUGACGAAUAUAUAAAAAUCGAAACCCAAAGACUGGAUUUUGCUUCGUUCAAUCAAGAUUUAUUUAGAAUGCAUAUAUUGCAAGGACUUCUAGAUAUUUUAAGACUUGGAGAACGAGAUUCUUCUAACAUUGGUAAGCAAAAAUUCCUUUCAGCUUCUUUUAGAGGUGGACCUAGAGAUAUGCGACAAUGAUAUAUGGAUACUAUUGCAUUAGUAUAACGUUUCGGCAAACCAUAUUUGUUUAUAACUAUGACCUGUAAUCCAACUUGGCCGGAAAUAAAAGAACAUUUGUGGACAAUUGAUGAAGCGCAAAAUAGACCUGAUUUAAUUAGUCGAGUAUUCAGAACUAAAGUUGAAGAACUGAAAACAGAUAUAAGCAAGAGAAAUAUCUUUGGAAAAGUUGCUGCUUAUAUGUAUACUGUUGAAUUCCAAAAACGAGAUUUACCACAUGCUCAUUUCCUUAUAAUAUUAGCUAACGAAUAUAAGUUAUUGACAUCGGAGGCUUAUGAUGGAAUUAUUAGUGUUGAAUUACUAGAUGCUAAUUUGGAUAAAAAAAAUUACGUUCGAUUGUUCUCAAACAUAUGAUGCACGGUCCAUGCGGUAAUCUGAAUGCGACAAAUUCAUGUAUGAAAAAAAUGGGCUUUGUAAGUUUAAUUAUCCAAAAAAAUUUGCUAAACAAACAUCAAAAGGAAGUGAUUCUUACCCCGUCUAUAAAAGACGAAACACAGGAGAAGUUGUGAAAGUACGAGAGCAACAUUUAGAUAAUUCUCGGGUUGUUCCAUACAAUCCUUUUUUACUUGGUAAAUUCAACUGUCAUAUGAACGUUGAGGUUUGCUCUGACAUAAAGGUUGUUAAAUAUCCUUACAAAUAUAUUUAUAAAGGACAUGACAAAAUUGCAUUUUACGUACAUGAUAAUGAUACAAACAAAGAAAUAGAUGAAAUAAAGGAGUAUCAAUCUGCUAGAUGGGUAUCACCACCCGAAGCUGCUUGGCGUUUAUUUAGUUUCUCUAUUAGUGAGAUGUAUCCAAGCGUUUAUCAUCUUCAAUUACAUCUUAAAGGGAAACAACUUGUUUCUUUUAAAGGCAAUACAGAUAUUAACUCAAUCAUUAAUAAUCCAAUGAUUAAGAAAACAAUGUUGACAUAAUUUUUUCAGAUGAACAGAACUACCAAAGAUGCCAUAAAACUUAACUUAUUAUAAAAAGAAUUUCCUGAACACUUUGUAUGGUCAACAACAGACAAAACAUGGACACUGCGAUAACAACGUUGCGCCGUUGGUCGUAUCGUAACAUGUCACCCAACUAAAGGAGAACGAUAUUAUCUCAGACUACUGUUGCUAAAUGUGAGAGGACUGAAAUUAUAUGCAGAUCUUCGAACUAUAAAUGGGGAACGUUAUAAUACUUUUAGAGAAUCUGCAGAAAAAAGGGACUGUUACACUGUGAUAACAGUUUAAAUGAUUGCAUGUCAGAGGCAGCAAGUUACCAAAUGCCAUAUAGUUUAAGGCGUUUAUUUGCUACAUUAUUAGUGUAUUGUAAUCCAGCUAAUCCAAAAAAAAUAUGGAAAUAAUUUGAAGAGUCAAAUGUCAGAAGAUUACAAAGUGUUACCUAAUGUUGAAAAAAAAAAUCCAAUAUCAAGUUUUAAAUCAGAUCAAUGAUAUUUUACACUCUAUGGGUCAUAAUAUAAAUGAAUAUGAGCUUAUCCCAGAAACCGUUCAACUAUCUAUACUGGAAAAAGAAGAGAAUGAGGUAUUCAUUGAAAGAACCAUCAGGGUUAGUGAAGAGGAUAUAUUGUUACACAAAAAACUGGACACAAAACAAUUGAAAGCAUACAAUGUGAUUAUUGACCGAGUAUUUUCCAAGAAACCAGGAGCUUUUUUUAUCGAUGGUCCAGGAGGGACUGGAAAAACUUUUUAUAUCGUGCUUUAUUAGCGACUAUACAUAGUAAAGGGUACAUAGCUCUAGCAACUGCUACUUCUGGCGUUGUUGCUUCAAUUCUUCCAGGUGGGCGAACUGCACAUUCACGUUUCAAAAUACCUAUAGACAUUGAUGAAAAUUUCAGCUGUAACAUUAGCAAACAAAGCUCAACUGCAAGUCUGAUUCGUGAUGCAAAAUUAAUUGUAUGGGAUGAAGUAUCUAUGGCUAAAAAAAAGAAUGCUUUAUAUUUUUGACUUGCUCUUAAAAGAUCUUAUGGAUACAAAUAUUCUAUUUGGGGAAAAAGUUGUUGUUUUUGGCGUUGACUUUAGACAAACUCUUUUAGUUGUUCGAAGCGGGAAUAAAGAAGAUUUUAUUAAUGAAAGUUUACUAUAUUCUACCAUUUGGGACGAACUUGAAAAAUUGCAAUUAUUUGAAAAUAUGAGGGCAAAAACAGAUCCUGCUUUUUGUGAUUACUUGAUAAGAAUUGGAAAUGGACAAGAGAGGGUAAACUUUAAUAACAAAAUUGAACUUCCAGAUUCUAUGAUUAUUCCUUUUACAACUAAAGAAGAAUCUCUAAACCAUUUAUUCGCUAUGAUAUUCUCAAAUGUACACACAUCCUCCUCUAUUUUCUUGAAGAUUCUCGCGUUGUUCUAACGACGAAGAAUGAUUUUGUAAAUGAAAUCAACGAUAUUCUUAUAGCAAAAUUUCCAGAAAAAGCUACUACAUUUGUUGGUAUUGACGAAACCGUUGAGCCUAAUGAUCAAAGUCAAUUUGAAAACCUAUUACACACUGUGAAUCCUGCUGGUUUACCUCCUUACAAAUUAACUUUGAAAGAGAACUACCCCAUUAUAUUGCUGCGCAAUUUGAAUCCGUAUGAAGGUUUAUGCAAUGGUACACGGUUAAUACGUUGCGAUGUUAAGACACAUGUUAUCAGUGCUAAGAUCGCGACAGGCGAUUUUAAAAAUAAGCACGUAUUUAUCCCAAGAAUACCAUUAUUAUCUUCACAAGACGAAAGAUUACUAGUUCAAUUUAAAUGAACACAGUUCCUAGUAAGAUUAUGCUAUGCUAUGACUAUAAAUAAGGUGCAAGGUCAGACUCUGGAUUUUGUCGGAAUAUAUUUGCGAGAACCUGUUUUUUCACAUGGUCAACUUUAUGUUGCCUUAUCGAGAGCAAAAAGUUCAAAUUAUGUCAAAGUGCUGAUCCGACCAUCUAUGCUAGCCAACCAUGAUGACCAUUCUACAUAUAAUAUCGUUUAUGACGAAAUCAUCCAAGGAGCGUCCUUUCAAAUAGGCGAUGAGGUUAAGAGUGGACUUCUACUUACCUCGAGCUCCGAAAGAAGGAAAUAUCAGUUAUUUUUUGACAAGGAUAUGAUACUUUGUUCAGUGAUUAUGGAUUCAACCUACUUUGAUUCUAAUAUUUUCUAUUUCUUCAAGUUGAUCUUGGCUCUGCAAUUAAGGUAGUAGCAGAUAUUACUAUUGAUGCCUAUGUCACAGAGAACAAUAUAAGCCAUCCAUCUCUUGCCAGUGACAUGCAAAGCUUGUGUGGAGUGAGUUCUUCAAUCGGGCAACUAAUUGGGUACACUAUCAGUGGAUUUUUAGUUCAUCUAAUUGCAUCUAAGGUUUGGUAUCGCUGGCUUAAUUCGAUCAUUAUCGAUGGAAUAUUGAGCUAGAGUUUCGACGUGUCGGCUUAGUGUCAUUAAAUUUAUAGUUGAGGAUAUUGUUGACUUUAUACUUAUAUGUGUCUUCCAGUGGCAAUAGAACAGCCACGUCUAUUUGGUUUUUAUCUGGUUCUAGGAUUAUUCUUCAUUUUCCUUUCUCUUUAGCUUCUUCAUCUCUCUUUCACCGUCUGGGAAGACACUUCAACAAUUGGGAUUUAGAUCAGAUCUUCUUCUAUUUGAUUCGUGAUUAUUUUUCUAUUUUUAAUGUAACCAAAUUUCUCAUCAUGUUCUCCAAUCCGUAUAGGAUUUUCACUGCUAAAAAUUCGUUGAGAAUUAUUUAAAAUUUUUGAUUUAUUCUGUUUACCUAUGUCUAGGGAGUACCAUAUGGAAAGAGGUUAAGAGAUGCACGAGAAGAUUCUAGGUGGUAUCUGCUUAUGCCUUUUAUAUUACUAGAAGCUCCAUUGUCAGGAUUUGAAUGUGAACAUGGAGUUUGUGGAGGGUUCUGAAAGGAGAGUAAUACUGAUGAUAAGGGGAGGGGAUGUUGUUAUCAGUAUGCUGUUAGGAUUUGAUGCAGGAAGAGUGUGCCUACACCAUUUAAAGUUCUAAGUGGCAGUUUUCCCCACUUAAUUGAAAUGAUCUAUAGGGACAAUAGCUCCCCUGAUGAGAUUUACAGCUAAAUCUGCAGUCAAGAGUUUCCGCGAUGCGAAUAGUGUCAAAUGAUAGUUUGGUAAUGGACAAUUCAGCACUAGAGCCAUCUCAUCUCAUAUUGCCAUUGUCGAGGAAUUUGAGGACACUUAACCUUCAACUGAAAUUACAGCGAGCGAGGAUUGUUUGGAGAAUGCUGGUCACCUUCUAACUGUUGAAGUUGACAAAAUUCAAUCUUUGUCACAUGCAGAACUAUCACAAGGUUGCAUAUGCCUAAACAAUGAAGUGUUAAUUAUGCGCUCAGUUAUAUGUAGACCCAUUCAGGAAGAUAUAUUUGUCAAUGAUAAAAAGUUUUUUUCCGGCUACGUGAUUGUAAUUACAUAUAUAUUAAGAACUGUUAUUUUUUACUAUACUUACAACUGCAAGUUUGUUGACUGAUC
This is a non-coding RNA of Nicotiana tabacum (common tobacco), 4915 nucleotides long. NCBI's taxonomy places the organism in Eukaryota, Viridiplantae, Streptophyta, Magnoliopsida, Solanales, Solanaceae. The record is from RefSeq and is a predicted model, not a curated record.